GCACUUGAAAUGGCAGCAAGUCUGAGGAGCAACGCCGCGUGAGUGAAGAAGGGUUUCGGCUCGUAAAGCUCUGUUGGUAGUGAAGAAAGAUAGAGGUAGUAACUGGCCUUUAUUUGACGGUAAUUACUUAGAAAGUCACGGCUAACUACGUGCCAGCAGCCGCGGUAAUACA
This 172-nucleotide ribosomal RNA is filed under the name uncultured Lactobacillus sp. RNAcentral's name for it is "partial 16S ribosomal RNA". It matches the Rfam family "Bacterial small subunit ribosomal RNA", at positions 359 to 527 of the family's 1533-position model. The record is from RNAcentral. Lineage: Bacteria; Bacillati; Bacillota; Bacilli; Lactobacillales; Lactobacillaceae.